This 73-nucleotide transfer RNA is filed under the name Dermacentor silvarum. RNAcentral's name for it is "transfer RNA lysine (anticodon CUU)". It matches the Rfam family "tRNA". Rfam says of the family: Transfer RNA (tRNA) molecules are approximately 80 nucleotides in length. Their secondary structure includes four short double-helical elements and three loops (D, anti-codon, and T loops). The record is from RNAcentral. Lineage: Eukaryota; Metazoa; Arthropoda; Arachnida; Ixodida; Ixodidae.
GCCCGGCUAGCUCAGCCGGUAGAGCAUGAGACUCUUAAUCUCAGGGUUGUGGGAUCGAGCCCCACGUUGGGCG